AGCGAACGCUGGCGGCAUGCUUAACACAUGCAAGUCGCACGGGCAGCAAUGUCAGUGGCGGACGGGUGAGUAACGCGUAGGUAUCUAUCCUUGGGUGGGGGACAACUGUGGGAAACUACAGCUAAUACCGCAUGAUGACCGAGGUCUAAAGGCGCAAGUCGCCUGGGGCGGAGCCUGCGUACGAUUAGCUUGUUGGUGGGGUAAAGGCUUACCAAGGCGACGANCGUUAGCUGGUCUGAGAGGAUGAUCAGCCACAUUGGGACUGAGACACGGCCCAAACUCCUACGGGAGGCAGCAGUGGGGAAUAUUGGACAAUGGGCGCAAGCCUGAUCCAGCAAUGCCGCGUGUGUGAAGAAGGUCUUCGGAUUGUAAAGCACUUUCGACGGGGACGGAUGAUGACGGUACCCGUAGAAGAAGCCCCGGCUAACUUCGUGCCA
Molecule: ribosomal RNA, 437 nt
Filed under: uncultured bacterium
Lineage: Bacteria
Description: bacterial SSU rRNA
Rfam family: Bacterial small subunit ribosomal RNA
Source: RNAcentral